This 439-nucleotide ribosomal RNA is filed under the name uncultured bacterium. RNAcentral describes it as "partial 16S ribosomal RNA". It matches the Rfam family "Bacterial small subunit ribosomal RNA", at positions 339 to 795 of the family's 1533-position model. The record is from RNAcentral.
CUACGGGAGGCAGCAGUGAGGAAUAUUGCACAAUGGGGGGAACCCUGAUGCAGCAACGCCGCGUGGAGGAUGACGCAUUUCGGUGUGUAAACUCCUUUUAUAUGUCAAGAAAAUGACGGUAGCAUAUGAAUAAGCACCGGCUAACUCCGUGCCAGCAGCCGCGGUAAUAGGAGGGUGCAAGCUGUUACUCGGAAUCACUGGGCGUAAAGGACGCGUAGGCGGGUUGGAAAGUCAGGUGUGAAAUCCUACAGCUUAACUGUAGAACUGCACUUGAAACUUCUAAUCUAGAGUAUGGGAGGGGGAGAUGGAAUUAGUGGUGUAGGGGUAAAAUCCGUAGAUAUCACUAGGAAUACCUAAAGCGAAGGCGAUCUCCUGGAACAUUACUGACGCUAAGGCGUGAAAGCGUGGGGAGCAAACAGGAUUAGAUACCCGAGUAGUC